RNA transcript from Otolemur garnettii (small-eared galago), 1398 nucleotides. It is a transcript of the gene named sirtuin 4, with no coding region annotated. The record is from RefSeq and is a predicted model, not a curated record. Lineage: Eukaryota; Metazoa; Chordata; Mammalia; Primates; Galagidae. The transcript has 5 exons.
UCCCGCUGCCGGUUGUGAACUGUGCCUCGUGCUGUGGAAGAAUGAGGAUGAGCCUUGGGUUGACUUUCAAGUCAGCAAAAGGCCAUUGGGUUGUGAACCUUAGCCAGCAGUGCUCACGUGGAUUUAUUGGGUCAUUUGUGCCACCAAGUCCUCCGUUGGACCCUGAGAAGGUCAAAGAGUUACAGCGCUUCAUCACCCUUUCCAAGAGACUCUUUGUGAUGACUGGGGCAGGAAUCUCCACUGAGUCAGGCAUCCCAGACUACAGAUCAGAAAAGGUGGGUCUUUAUGCCCGCACUGACCGGAGGCCCAUCCAGCACAAGGAUUUUAUGCAGAGUGCUCCAAUCCGCCAGCGGUAUUGGGCAAGGAACUUUGUGGGCUGGCCUCAGUUCUCCUCCCACCAACCUAACCCUGCACACUGGGCUUUGAGCAACUGGGAGAAGCUUGGAAAGUUGUACUGGUUGGUGACCCAAAAUGUGGAUGCCUUGCACACCAAAGCGGGGAGUCAGCGCCUGACAGAGCUCCAUGGAUGCAUGCACAGAGUCCUCUGCUUGGACUGUGGUGAACAGACUCCCCGAAGGGUGCUGCAGGAGCGCUUCCAAGCCCUAAACCCUGACUGGAGUGCUGAGGCCCAUGGCGUGGCUCCUGAUGGCGAUGUCUUUCUCUCAGAGGAGCAGGUCCAGAGCUUUCAGGUACCAUCAUGUGUUCGAUGUGGAGGCCCUCUGAAACCAGAUGUUGUUUUCUUCGGAGACACAGUGAACCCUGACAAGGUUGAUUUUGUGCACAAACGUGUCAAAGAAGCCGACUCUCUCUUGGUGAUAGGAUCAUCCUUGCAGGUGUACUCCGGUUACAGGUUUAUCCUCACUGCCAGGGAGAAGAAGCUACCGAUAGCAAUACUGAACAUUGGGCCCACACGGUCUGAUGACUUGGCAUGUCUAAAACUGAAUUCCCGUUGUGGAGAGUUGCUGCCUUUAAUAGAUCCACACUGACCACAGCCUGAUGUUCCUGAGCCAAGAACAGGGACUUGUACUGCUGCUAAAGAUCCUUAAGGAUUCAUCCUUUUUACUUCGAACUAAUUGAAGGUCAUUGAGUGUAGCCUAUAGAAGGCAGCAAAACAAUGUCUCUCUACCAGCCCAGCUCUGAACUGGACACAUUUCAGAGCUGAGUUAAGUUCUUCAGGCUGAUGAGAUUUGCCCUUAAAGAAAUAAUUUUUUCACAGAAGCAGUUGCUUUUGAUAGGAAAACUGUAUUCACUUCCAUUUUUGUAAUUUCACCUGGCAGAAGAAAUGACCUGGGAAAUGUGGAGUAUCCUAACCCAAGGAUCUAACUAAUUUGGGGACGGGGAGGUUAAAGGUAGAAGGAAAUGAUAUAAUUUAUAAUCCAAAUGGCUAAGUGUCUUUAA